CACGGAGGAUCCGAGCGUUAUCCGGAUUUAUUGGGUUUAAAGGGUGCGCAGGCGGGAGAUUAAGUCGGCGGUGAAAUUUUGCAGCUCAACUGUAAAAGUGCCUUCGAAACUGGUUUCCUUGAGUGUAGAUGAAGUAGGCGGAAUUUGUGGUGUAGCGGUGAAAUGCAUAGAUAUCACGAGGAACUCCGAUUGCGCAGGCAGCUUACUAAACUACUACUGACGCUCAGGCACGAAGGCGUGGGGAUCAAACAGGAUUAGAUACCCCUGUA
Molecule: ribosomal RNA, 269 nt
Filed under: uncultured prokaryote
Description: partial 16S ribosomal RNA
Rfam family: Bacterial small subunit ribosomal RNA
Source: RNAcentral